Oreochromis niloticus (Nile tilapia) is the source of this 1205-nucleotide long non-coding RNA. RefSeq lists it as uncharacterized. Lineage: Eukaryota; Metazoa; Chordata; Actinopteri; Cichliformes; Cichlidae. The record is from RefSeq and is a predicted model, not a curated record. The transcript is spliced from 2 exons.
CUUGCAACAUUGGAAUUUCAUAAAUGCACGAAUGGCUUGGCGCGCAAAAGAUCAUCCCUGGGUGAGGACGCUUGAUCACGUGCUGGUCGUAGAGACACGAUCAGGUGUGUCAGAGCGAGCCUCGGCUCAGCUAGUGCAGGUUUGGAUGCUCUCGCAGCUUUGUCUUUGUGACUCUCCUAAAGUGAAGGUAGCAGCGCUCUGAUCAGCAGCAGCUGCAGUGUCACUUCACCUGGGAUCUGAAGAAGGAGGACGUGGACCUGGAAAACCUGAGCGCCUGACUGCAGACUGACAUAGAGCUUCAGCAGAGACAGCGUGAGGGAGCUGGCCGCUCCUACAGCUUCUUGGCUUAUGUCAGGACUCAGAUAGAGAAGAGCAGUGCUAACGUUAGCCAGGAGAAAGCCAGCGCAGGCUUGGAUCCUGAAAACCAAAUGAUCCCUCUAUGAAUUGGAUGUCCUGCUGAUGCUGACCACAGUUUUCUUUGACGGUCUCUCUUGUUACCUUGUCUCCAAUGUUACCUAACAGCAGCUUUCCUGCUAACACAGCUGCUGUCUGGAGCACAUAAGACUGACUCAGACAGUUAGCUGGCCAGUCUCACAUUUAACAGCCAUCACCAGAUUCAUGCAGCACAGCAAAGCUACAGCUAGCACAAAACUUUGGCUUGCUUUAUGUUUACCUCAGAGAAAAACUAGAGUGCUGGACUUGACAAAGUAAUACAUUCCUAAGCUGGCACUGUCUGAUACAAAUCUGCCUCCUGAAGCUAGUUUGGGCUCAUUAUUCUGGUGUAAAUGCAGGAAGGGUAAUCACCUGCAGACCCCGGGGUCAAGAACCUCAGCUAAAAACCUCGAUUCAGUCAUCAACAAGUGUUGAGCCUUGUUUCUUAUCAGAUGUUGUAAAAUUCUUCAGGUUCAAUAAGUGCUGUGUGACUUUUGUUGAAAACCAGCAUCAGCUGUAUUCUUUCUAAGUGCAGCUGGCAGAAGUUUUACUCUAGCAAAAUGUGAUUUUAAGUAUAGAAAAAGAUGUGACAAACCUCUGAUGACCUGUUGGUCCUCAGACAUCCUGAAGAUACUGUAACUGUCCCUGAGAAAGUUAAAAUAUGGUUGGUUGUUUCGUAUGUUUCUGUGAUGGAUUCAUGCUUGGUUUAGUUCAUUUAUUUAUAAGAUAAGAUGAUAAAAGUGUAACAUUGAUUAAAAAACAUGUCUAAAAUA